AGUGAACGCUGGCGGUAGGCCUAACACAUGCAAGUCGAACGGCAGCACAGUAAGAGCUUGCUCUUACGGGUGGCGAGUGGCGGACGGGUGAGGAAUACAUCGGAAUCUACUUUUUCGUGGGUGAUAACGUAGGGACACUUACGCUAAUACCGCAUACGACCUACGGGUGAAAGCAGGGGAUCUUCGGACCUUGCGCGAUUGAAUGAGCCGAGGUCGGAUUAGCUAGUUGGCGGGGUAAAGGCCCACCAAGGCGACGAUCCGUAGCUGGUCUGAGAGGAUGAUCAGUCACACUGGAACUGAGACACGGUCCAGACUCCUACGGGAGGCAGCAGUGGGGAAUAUUGGACAAUGGGCGCAAGCCUGAUCCAGCCAUACCGCGUGUGUGAAGAAGGCCUUCGGGUUGUAAAGCCCUUUUGUUGGGAAAGAAAAGCAGCAGGUUAAUACCCCGCUGUUCUGACGUUACCCAAAGAAUAAGCACCGGCUAACUUCGUG
Molecule: ribosomal RNA, 492 nt
Filed under: uncultured bacterium
Lineage: Bacteria
Description: partial 16S ribosomal RNA
Rfam family: Bacterial small subunit ribosomal RNA
Source: RNAcentral